This 297-nucleotide ribosomal RNA is filed under the name uncultured eukaryote. Its description in RNAcentral is "partial 18S ribosomal RNA". It matches the Rfam family "Eukaryotic small subunit ribosomal RNA", at positions 1470 to 1796 of the family's 1831-position model. The record is from RNAcentral.
CCCUUAGACGCUCUAGGCGGCACGCGCGCUACAAUGGGUGGUAGAACGUGUAACUGCUCCCGAAAGGGAGGGUGAACCACGAAUACUUACCCGUGAAUGGGAUAGUUUGUUGCAAUUUUCGGACUUGAACUAGGAAUCCCUUGUAAGAAUGCUCAAGAAUAGCGUGCUGAAUACGUCCCUGCCGUUUGUACACACCGCCCGUCGUUUCUUCCGACUGAUACUCAUUGCGAGUUGCAAGGAUUCUUAUUGAAAAAUUGCUGCGAAUGCUUUGUAUUGGAGGAAGAAAAAGUCGUAACA